AAUUUAAGAAUUUAUGACCAGAACGAAUGUGAAUACAAAGUCAUGGCUUUACUUCCGAAGAGAUAGGUUUACGGAGCUUCACUAUUCUCUUCCGAGUGUGAUUAUUUGACACAGAAUGUGGAGAACAUAUUGUUUUAUGAAACAAACCAAAAAUGUUAACUUCCAUAGUUCAGUUUUUGUUUUAUAAAAAUAAAUUAAAACUUUACACAAGGUUUUAUGCCAGUUAUAUCUUCGAUGUUAAUUAUAAAA
Molecule: long non-coding RNA, 249 nt
Organism: Papilio xuthus (Asian swallowtail)
Lineage: Eukaryota; Metazoa; Arthropoda; Insecta; Lepidoptera; Papilionidae
Exons: 3
Source: RefSeq, a predicted model, not a curated record